AACGAACGCUGGCGGCGCGCCUAAUACAUGCAAGUUGAGCGAGAAGGUGUAGCAAUACACUUGUAAAGCGGCGAACGGGUGAGGAAUGCAUGGGUAACCUACCCUCGAGUGGGGAAUAACUAGCCGAAAGGUUAGCUAAUACCGCAUACGUUUCCGGAACUUCGGUUUCGGAAAGAAAGCAAUACCGUGGGUAUUGCGCUCCUGGAUGGGCUCAUGUCCUAUCAGCUUGUUGGUGAGGUAACGGCUCACCAAGGCUUCGACGGGUAGCUGGUCUGAGAGGACGAUCAGCCACACUGGCACUGCGACACGGGCCAGACUCCUACGGGAGGCAGCAGUAAGGAAUAUUGCGCAAUGGACGAAAGUCUGACGCAGCGACG
Molecule: ribosomal RNA, 377 nt
Filed under: uncultured bacterium
Lineage: Bacteria
Description: bacterial SSU rRNA
Rfam family: Bacterial small subunit ribosomal RNA
Source: RNAcentral